Vidua macroura (Pin-tailed whydah) is the source of this 1406-nucleotide RNA transcript. It is a transcript of the gene named thymosin beta-12-like, with no coding region annotated. The transcript has 4 exons. NCBI's taxonomy places the organism in Eukaryota, Metazoa, Chordata, Aves, Passeriformes, Viduidae. The record is from RefSeq and is a predicted model, not a curated record.
UCAAAUACUCAAAUCCCUAAGGAGCUUCCAUGAACAAUGGAAACCCACAGCAGCAAACCCCUCGGAAAAUACAUUUGGUCACAGGCUGGGGCGUUCAGUCCAUGACCCAGCGUUCUUAAUGCCAGCGCUGCCUUCGUGACCACAGGCGAUUUAGGGACUGCCCUUCUUGCAACUGCUGGGACCAAGCUGGCUGUCAGGGAGCUGCGAGGCUGAUGCUGUCAGCGCGCCAAGCCCCCCGGCAGGGGCACCCGGCGGCUCCGCGGAGAAGGGAGCAGGCAGGGCGCACAACUCCUGGAGGAGCCGGGCUGUCAGCGCUGCCUGCGCGGUGCCCCCGACGCCAGCCUGGGAGACGCUCCCGCCUCUUGACAGCUCCGCGCGAGCGGCUGCAGCAGCUCGGCAGGAGGAAGUUCCCGCGCCCCGCUCGGGCCGGUGCCAGAAGGUUCCUGAAGCCUGACGUGACACCGAGCGGCCCGAGCGGGGACCCCCGCGCAUGCGCCCCGCGCCCCUCACCGUUGCCGGGUGACUCGCCCUCCCCGCCGUCCUCAGCACCACCAGCAGGUUCCUCCGCCUCUUCCUACCCCGGGGGCCGGCGCGGGCCUCUCCUCGCCGCUCCGCUCUCCUCGCAGCCCUCCUCCGCCGGCCGCUGCCCGCGCCGUGUGCCGCGGCCGCCGCGCUGCCGGACCCGACGCCGUCCGUGCCCUCACAGCCGCUCCGAGCUCCGAGCCGCGAGCGGGGGGUCCCCGACGGCAGCGGCGGCGACGGGCGGAAGUGACGCGCUGACUGACAGCCUCAUCAACAACAAUAAAGAUACUGAAUCAGAACAAGCUGGCAAUUUUGUUGAUGAAACACGGGGGAGAGCGGACUCCAGCUGGCUCUUCAGCAGAUCCAUUGGCCAGUUGACAGGAAUAAAACUGCAAGAAACCUGACACAGAAAGCACAUGCGGUGAGAGGAGACAGACAGCAGAGGCAGGCAGCCUUGUGUCCUUAAGCAGCUGAAAAACUUCAGGGUUUAUCUUCUCCCCAAACAUAAAUCCACUCAAGCUACCAGGAGUCCCAGGCUAUUGAGAGUGGAAUGAUUUGGCAACACAAAGAGAAGUUCUGGUGAGGUGCCCCUGAGGACUACAUCCACAGCCCUGAAUCCCAGGAACAAAGAAUUCCUCACCUCUGUAGCUACCCCAGCACAGCAGAGAUUGUAACAACAGACCCACCUAUUGUCCUUUUUCCUCUGGACAAAAGGAAAAUCUGAAGAUAACAUAAAGAAGGAAAAAAUUUAAUUAUAUCAGCCAUCUCCGGGCCAAACCUUGCCUUGAUGGGAAACUCCACUGAAAUCAGGGGAAUAACGCCCAGGCUGGAUUUUAACUUGAAUUUCUUAAUAAAAGGAGGAAUUGGAUUUGGGAAGUUUUACA